This 109-nucleotide ribosomal RNA is filed under the name uncultured bacterium. Its description in RNAcentral is "partial 16S ribosomal RNA". The record is from RNAcentral.
AAGGCCUUCGGGUUGUAAAGCACUUUAUCAGGAGCGAAAUACUACCGGUUAAUAACCGGUGGGGCUGACGGUACCUCCGAGGAAUAACGACACCCGGCUAACUUCGUGC